UCCAAUAGAAGCAUCAAACGGUCUUCUUCCCUGCUAGGCUGCUACACAACUGUGGGACAAGUUGUACAAGCCAAUACUGGAAGCUCGGUCCUCUAGCAGCAAUCAGAUCUUCAUAAUUCACUUAAUAAGAUGUUACUCCAAGUCACACCAUGCUUGAACAGGUGGAAUGUAGUACAAACUACUGCAAAAAGCCUUGAAGAUACACUAGGUACAGUUUUUUACAGCGAUUUGCACUCACCAGCUAGUAGGCUCCUUCACAUACAAUAGAAUCCAACACAUUCCAGGAAUACCCAAUCACAAGUCGAAUAACAGUUUAUACUACAACGGUGAAACGCCGACCAGUUUAGAUAGUUAUUUCAUGAAAGCAGAUAUAUAUUGGAAUAAUUCAAAUAAACUUUGCAACUUCAAAGCUUGAAUAGUCAUUUCAUGUAAACAGUUAUACACUGGAAUAAUUCAAAUAACCUUUGCAACUUAAGAGCUNNNNNNNNNNNNNNNNNNNNNNNNNNAUUUCAUAGUACAAGUGUAUAAUUUAAGUGUAGAAAAUUUAACACUAGAAAUUGAAAUAUGACAAAAAGAUGAAAGAAUAAAAUAACUCAAUGAUGAAAAUGUUGCACAUGUAUGUCUUUAAUAAAUUGAUUAAAACAUAUCCAAGACUUUAAUUGUAGCCAUAGCCUUCAAUUUUGAUCAAUACACUAUAAAAUAAUGUCAUGAAUUCAGGAAUGAGUUACUACAAGUAUAAGAGACUAUACAACUAUAGUCUAUAAGUAUAAAAGAGACUAUAAAAUGUUCAAUUCUAGUCUAGUAAUAAUAUUAUAACAACAUAACCAUGUACCUUGUUAUUGCAUUGUAUACAUCAAAGUGUUAUUAAUUGCUUUGUAUACAUCAAAGUGUCGAUAAUUGCUUUGCAGAAUUAGGCAUCGUAACGAGGAUAGUGUUAAUUAUAAUCCUAAUAUGUGUGGCGCAUAAAAGAGUAAAGAAAAAGAAGACAACAAGACAGACACAACAGAGGGGGAGAGGCGGGGCAAAUAAAUAAAAGAUAAUGUCCCCAAACCUAGCUCUCCCCUCUCNNN
RNAcentral lists this long non-coding RNA (1070 nucleotides) under Trifolium pratense (red clover). Its description in RNAcentral is "long non-coding RNA (TPRA_LNC009705)". Lineage: Eukaryota; Viridiplantae; Streptophyta; Magnoliopsida; Fabales; Fabaceae. The record is from RNAcentral.